This 373-nucleotide transfer-messenger RNA is filed under the name Chitinophagaceae. RNAcentral's name for it is "UBA1930 sp019638475 Standard tmRNA". It matches the Rfam family "transfer-messenger RNA". From Rfam's summary of the family: Bacterial tmRNA, also known as 10Sa RNA or SsrA, is named for its dual tRNA and mRNA-like properties. Its role is to liberate the mRNA from a stalled ribosome. To accomplish this part of the tmRNA is used as a reading frame that ends in a translation stop signal. The record is from RNAcentral. RNAcentral also lists the same sequence under 1 other name. Lineage: Bacteria; Pseudomonadati; Bacteroidota; Chitinophagia; Chitinophagales.
GGGGCCGUAUUGGUUUUGACAGCAGAGUUCUUUGUAAGUGUAAGCAUGCAGUGCGUUGUAUAAUUAGCACUUAAAUCUGAAUAUUCAAACUUUAACUGGCAAUACACAAUUUGCCAUGGCUGCCUAAUCAGUGAUUUGACAGUCAUUAGGGCUGCUGCAUAGGUUUGCUUUUUACCAAAUGCCGCCGCCGACUCAAAACAAAUAAAAGCUGCUGUUGCAAUAGGCUGUGCUUGCAACAAAAGAUUAUUCAGCUAAGGAAAUAAUUGGUUUGUUGGCUUCCUGCUAUUUCCCUACAAAUAAUAAUCAACUAAGCAUGUAGAAAGUUUAUAACGAAUUUGUUUGGACAAGGGUUCGAGUCCCUUCGGCUCCACAU